UUUACUUUCUCUCUCUCUCACAAUAUACCACGCCUGAUCCUCAAAGAUUCAUUCAAAAUCACACUUCUGAAUCACCUAUUCAACGACCGAAUUUCUUUGUGUUCGAAGUGAUCAGCACACGGCGACAUCGAUAGUUACAGUAAGAUUUUAAUUGGGUGUUUAGGACUACGAUUCAGAGCAACAUGUAGCAUCACCAUAGAUCGAGAUGAUAACAGCAACACUUCAAAGAAGGGACGCAUCGGGCGCGGGGAAUGAUAUGGACGUCGAACACCUUUUUGUACAGUUGCCAAGUAGAAAAAACGCAGCUGUAGGUAGUAGUUAAGCAAGCCAUGUCCUCUAGGAAUAUGUCUUUUGUGCAACUUAUGUAACUAACAUAGCUUAGUGUUAGUAACCUAAGUUGCAACUAUAACAUAUGUACGAACCUGGACACAAGCUCUUGGUUGUACCUAAUCUAUCUAACCUAACGGAUGUAAAUCACAACUUGCUUAAUGUAAAUAUAAGUCUAGCCCCCCGCUGCAUCGCGACGGGUUACUCUUCUAGUU
RNAcentral lists this long non-coding RNA (542 nucleotides) under Helianthus annuus (common sunflower). The record is from RNAcentral. Lineage: Eukaryota; Viridiplantae; Streptophyta; Magnoliopsida; Asterales; Asteraceae.